AUCUUAAAGAAAGUCUGCAAGAGUACAAGGAGAUGCGCUUAAGGCGAAAGAGAAGUGGCAAAAGCAAAGGAAAAGCAUAUUGCGAGUUGUACAAGAAGUUGAGUAGUAAGGAAGGAGAAAAGGACUUGUACCGAUUGGCCAGACAAAGGGACAGAGCUG
Thalassophryne amazonica is the source of this 159-nucleotide long non-coding RNA. RefSeq lists it as uncharacterized. Lineage: Eukaryota; Metazoa; Chordata; Actinopteri; Batrachoidiformes; Batrachoididae. The transcript has 3 exons. The record is from RefSeq and is a predicted model, not a curated record.